RNAcentral lists this ribosomal RNA (253 nucleotides) under uncultured bacterium. Its description in RNAcentral is "partial 16S ribosomal RNA". It matches the Rfam family "Bacterial small subunit ribosomal RNA", at positions 524 to 776 of the family's 1533-position model. The record is from RNAcentral.
UACAGAGGUCCCAAGCGUUGUUCGGAUUCACUGGGCGUAAAGGGUGCGUAGGUGGUGAGGUAAGUCGGAUGUGAAAUCUCCGGGCUCAACCCGGAAACUGCAUUGGAAACUACCUUGCUUGAGGAUUUGAGGGGGGAUUGGAAUACUUGGUGUAGCAGUGAAAUGCGUAGAUAUCAAGUGGAACACCAGUGGCGAAGGCGAAUCCCUGGAAAAUACCUGACACUGAGGCACGAAAGCUAGGGGAGCAAACAGG